UGUCAAAUAUUGUAAAGAGCUAUUCGAAAUGAAUUUUGAACGUCGAACACAAGAAAUGGGAAGAUUAAGUGAAUAGGCAAAGGCAACGCAAAAUUGCAGGACAAUCCUAUAAAAACAGAAAUGGGAACGCUGUAGCUGAAAAAAAGAUACCUAACCUACAAAUAACAUGUAAAUGUAAAUUUAACUACAAGUCGUUAAACUACGAACAUAGAUUGACACUUUUUGAAAAAUACUAUGAGUGCAGACCUAAAGUCCGUGGAACGUACAUCAUGAAAUAUCUACUCUACUACUCUACUAGUUUGGACACCUACAAGUUUUACCAAAAAGUGUUGAAAGAAGACUUUCCAAAUGUUUCAUUUGGAGGACGUCAAAGUCACACCUGUCGUAAAUGUGACUCGUUAAAUUGCACAAUAAAAGCGCAGGGCGAAAGAAGUGGGGCAGCAAAGUUGGAGCUGGAGGUGCACCAUAGCAAGGCGGAAGCAGCGUGUAUGCUCAUGAAAACAGAUAUCGCAUCAUCGCAAGUGCCAGGAAGCAUCACGCGUGUGUUCUCAGUGGACUUAACCCAUUCUGACAUGUUCUACAUGAGACAACUUUCAUGCUACAACUUAGGAAUCAACUUUGGGGAUGACAGGCAUUCAUACAUGUGUGGCAGGACAUGGUGGUAACGAAAUUGGGUCUUACAGAAAAAAAGCAAUGUUGUUGUUUG
Molecule: long non-coding RNA, 706 nt
Organism: Cylas formicarius (sweet potato weevil)
Lineage: Eukaryota; Metazoa; Arthropoda; Insecta; Coleoptera; Brentidae
Exons: 3
Source: RefSeq, a predicted model, not a curated record